GAUGAAGAACGCAGCGAAAUGCGAUAAGUAAUGUGAAUUGCAGAAUUCAGUGAAUCAUCGAAUCUUUGAACGCACCUUGCGCCCUUUGGCCAUUCCGAAGGGCAUGCCUGUUUGAGUAUCAUGAACACCUCAACUCUUCAUGGUUUUCCGUGAUGAGCUUGGACUUUGGGGGUCUUGCUGGCCUAUGGUCAGCUCCUCUAAAAUAAAUCAGCUUGCCAGUGUUUGGUGGGUAUCACAGGUGUGAUAACUAUCUACGCUUGUGGUUUUCCACCAGGUAACCUUCAGCAGUGGAGGUUCGCUGGAGCUCACAGAUGUGUCUCUCCUCAGUGAGGACAGCUCUUUGAAUGUUUGAUCUCAAUCAGGUAGGACUACCCGCUGAACUUAAGCAUAUCAAUAAGCGGAGGA
This 405-nucleotide unclassified non-coding RNA is filed under the name soil metagenome. RNAcentral's name for it is "partial contains 5.8S ribosomal RNA, internal transcribed spacer 2, and large subunit ribosomal RNA". The stretch from base 1 to 121 matches the Rfam family "5.8S ribosomal RNA", at positions 35 to 154 of the family's 154-position model. The record is from RNAcentral.